AAUGACAGUACCGGGAGAAUAAGCUCCGGCUAACUCCGUGCCAGCAGCCGCGGUAAUACGGAGGGAGCUAGCGUUAUUCGGAAUUACUGGGCGUAAAGCGUACGUAGGCGGUUAUUCAAGUCAGAGGUGAAAGCCCGGGGCUCAACCCCGGAACUGCCUUUGAAACUAGGUAGCUAGAAUCUUGGAGAGGUCAGUGGAAUUCCGAGUGUAGAGGUGAAAUUCGUAGAUAUUCGGAAGAACACCAGUGGCGAAGGCGACUGACUGGACAAGUAUUGACGCUGAGGUACGAAAGCGUGGGGAGCAAACAGGAUUAGAUACCCUGGUAGCCCACGCCGUAAA
This 339-nucleotide ribosomal RNA is filed under the name uncultured Sphingomonas sp. RNAcentral describes it as "bacterial SSU rRNA". It matches the Rfam family "Bacterial small subunit ribosomal RNA", at positions 468 to 806 of the family's 1533-position model. The record is from RNAcentral. Lineage: Bacteria; Pseudomonadati; Pseudomonadota; Alphaproteobacteria; Sphingomonadales; Sphingomonadaceae.